RNAcentral lists this ribosomal RNA (355 nucleotides) under uncultured bacterium. RNAcentral describes it as "bacterial SSU rRNA". It matches the Rfam family "Bacterial small subunit ribosomal RNA", at positions 30 to 389 of the family's 1533-position model. The record is from RNAcentral.
AUUGAACGCUGGCGGAAUGCUUUACACAUGCAAGUCGAACGGUAGAGGGGGGCAACCCCUUGAGAGUGGCGAACGGGUGAGUAAUAUAUCGGAACGUGCCCAGUCGUGGGGAUAACGUAGCGAAAGUUACGCUAAUACCGCAUACGAUCUAAGGAUGAAAGCGGGGGAUCGCAAGACCUCGCGCGAUUGGAGCGGCCGAUAUCAGAUUAGGUAGUUGGUGAGGUAAAGGCUCACCAAGCCAACGAUCUGUAGCUGGUCUGAGAGGACGACCAGCCACACUGGAACUGAGACACGGUCCAGACUCCUACGGGAGGCAGCAGUGGGGAAUUUUGGACAAUGGACGCAAGUCUGAUCC